Molecule: ribosomal RNA, 253 nt
Filed under: uncultured bacterium
Lineage: Bacteria
Description: partial 16S ribosomal RNA
Rfam family: Bacterial small subunit ribosomal RNA
Source: RNAcentral
GACGUAGGAUGCAAGCGUCAUCCGGAAUUAUUGGGCGUAAAGAGUUCGUAGACGAAUUGUUAAGUAGGAUGUUAAAGAUCAGGGCCUAACCCUGGGAAGGCAUUCUAAACUGGCAGAAUAGAGCAAUGUAGAGGCAAGUAGAAUUCUGUGUGUAGGGGUAAUAUCCGUAGAUAUACAGAGGAAUACCAAAAGCGAAGGCAGCUUGCUGGGCAUUUGCUGACGUUCAAGAACGAAAGCGUGGGGAGCAAACAGG